GACGAACGCNGGCGGCGUGCCUAAUACAUGCAAGUAGAACGCACAGUUUAUACCGUAGCUUGCUACACCAUAAACUGUGAGUUGCGAACGGGUGAGUAACGCGUAGGUAACCUGCCUGGUAGCGGGGGAUAACUAUUGGAAACGAUAGCUAAUACCGCAUAAUAUUGAUUAUUGCAUGAUAAUUGAUUGAAAGAUGCAACUGCAUCACUACCAGAUGGACCUGCGUUGUAUUAGCUAGUAGGUGAGGUAACGGCUCACCUAGGCAACGAUACAUAGCCGACCUGAGAGGGUGAUCGGCCACACUGGGACUGAGACACGGCCCAGACUCCUACGGGAGGCAGCAGUAGGGAAUCUUCGGCAAUGGACGAAAGUCUGACCGAGCAACGUCGCGUGAGUGAAGAAGGUUUUCGGAUCGUAAAGCUCUGUUGUAAGAGAAGAACGGGUGUGAGAGNGGAAAGUUCACAC
Molecule: ribosomal RNA, 465 nt
Filed under: uncultured bacterium
Lineage: Bacteria
Description: bacterial SSU rRNA
Rfam family: Bacterial small subunit ribosomal RNA
Source: RNAcentral